This 447-nucleotide ribosomal RNA is filed under the name uncultured bacterium. RNAcentral's name for it is "bacterial SSU rRNA". It matches the Rfam family "Bacterial small subunit ribosomal RNA", at positions 355 to 825 of the family's 1533-position model. The record is from RNAcentral.
UGGGGAAUAUUGGACAAUGGGCGCAAGCCUGAUCCAGCCAUGCCGCGUGAGUGACGAAGGUCUUCGGAUUGUAAAGCUCUUUUGGCGGGGACGAUAAUGACGGUACCCGCAGAAUAAGCCCCGGCUAACUUCGUGCCAGCAGCCGCGGUAAUACGAAGGGGGCUAGCGUUGUUCGGAAUCACUGGGCGUAAAGCGCACGUAGGCGGAUUUGUUAGUCAGGGGUGAAAUCCCGGGGCUCAACCUCGGAACUGCCUCUGAUACUGCAAAUCUCGAGUCCGAUAGAGGUGAGUGGAAUUCCUAGUGUAGAGGUGAAAUUCGUAGAUAUUAGGAAGAACACCAGUGGCGAAGGCGGCUCACUGGAUCGGUACUGACGCUGAGGUGCGAAAGCGUGGGGAGCAAACAGGAUUAGAUACCCGCGUAGUCCCUGAGCGGGCUGGCAAGGCGCAU